GAUGAACGCUGGCGGCGUGCCUAAUACAUGCAAGUCGAGCGAACGGACGAGAAGCUUGCUUCUCUGAUGUUAGCGGCGGACGGGUGAGUAACACGUGGAUACCCUACCUAUAAGACUGGGAUAACUUCGGGAAACCGGAGCUAAUACCGGCUAAUAUUUUGAACCGCAUGGUUCAAAAGUGAUAGACGGUCUUGCUGUCACUUAUAGAUGGAUCCGCGCUGCAUUAGCUAGUUGGUAAGGUAACGGCUUACCAAGGCAACGAUGCAUAGCCGACCUGAGAGGUUGAUCGGCCACACUGGAACUGAGACACGGUCCAGACUCCUACGGGCGGCAGCAGUAGGCAAGCCUCCGCACUGGUCGAAAGCCUGACGCAGCAACGCCGCGUGAGUAAUGAAGGUCUUGGGGUCGUAAAACGCUGUUAUUAGAGAAGAACCUAUGUGGAAGUAACUGUGCAUAUCGUGACGGUACCAAGUCAGAAAGCCACGGCUAACUACGUU
This 497-nucleotide ribosomal RNA is filed under the name uncultured bacterium. RNAcentral's name for it is "partial 16S ribosomal RNA". It matches the Rfam family "Bacterial small subunit ribosomal RNA", at positions 28 to 507 of the family's 1533-position model. The record is from RNAcentral.